UUUCCGUAGGUGAACCUGCGGAAGGAUCAUUAAUGAGAACUAAGGGUAGUAGUCUCGGCUACUACUCGGAACACUCCACCCUUUGUUUAUAUUACCUUUGUUGCUUUAGCAGGCCCGCUCUCGAGCCGCCGGCACCUGCUGGCUAGUGCCUGCUAAAGAACCUAAAACUCUUGUUAAUAAUAUUGUCUGAGUACUAUAUAAUAGUUAAAACUUUCAACAACGGAUCUCUUGGUUCUG
RNAcentral lists this unclassified non-coding RNA (237 nucleotides) under plant metagenome. Its description in RNAcentral is "partial contains small subunit ribosomal RNA, internal transcribed spacer 1, and 5.8S ribosomal RNA". The record is from RNAcentral.